GCCAAGCCAUAAAAAAUCAACUCACACCCACAGCGCCAGAGUAUUACGAGCUCCAGCUUAAAACUCAAAGGACUUGACGGUAUCCUAACCAACUAGAGGAGCCUGUUCUAUAAUCGAUAAUCCACGAUAUACCUAACCACUUCUUGCUUAUCAGCCUGUAUACCUCCGUCGCAAGCUUACCAUUUGAAUGCGCUAGUAAUGCUUAAGGACCUUAACGCCAAAACGUCAGGUCAAGGUGCAGCUCACGAAGUGGGAGCAAUGAGCUACAAUUUCUAGCAUAGAACAAACAAAACAUUACAUGAAACAUAAUCACAAGGUGGAUCUAGCAGUAAGUAAGAAGUAGCGAGCCUUACUAAACCCGGCCAUAGGAUGUGU
Molecule: ribosomal RNA, 375 nt
Filed under: Philautus sp. FB-6
Lineage: Eukaryota; Metazoa; Chordata; Amphibia; Anura; Rhacophoridae
Description: partial 12S ribosomal RNA
Rfam family: Bacterial small subunit ribosomal RNA
Source: RNAcentral